AUGGAUCCCAUCCCAUUGGGAGGACACGUGUCUUGGCACAAAAGUGCAGUGCUGCAGGCAAUCUCUUUUUUUCUUUUCAUGAGGCCUCAGCCUGAAUUGAACCUGGACUGCUGAGUCACCGAGCGCUUGACGGUGAAAGGCAGAGAAAGAGAGCGGGGAGAGAAGGGAGAGAUGAAGGAGAAAGAACUCGGCAGGUGGUGGGCACUGCCGCAGCUUCAGCCCGCGGAGUCUUUUCAGCUGGCACACAACUGCUAGGCUGCCACAGAGGCCCUGCUUUCCAUCAGAAUAUUCCCCCUCUCUUCCCCCUCUUUAAACGAUAAACGAGGAGAACAGGCUUGGGCCAGAAUAAUAGGAUCCUUUCUUUCUGCCUCUGCCAUGUGUGAGGACAGGAACAAUGGCAGGGACCGGGAGGGGAAAUGAUUCAAAGUGAGAUUUUCACCUGCUCCCUUCAACCCCGGCUCUACUCCUUUCAGAGCAUGCUAAUGCCAGUUCAUUUACAAAGUAGUACUGUAAGCUGUAUCACACAGGCACACACAAAAAUGCAGAGAUCCUUUUUUUCUCUUUGUGAUGGACAGUUUAGAUUAUUGUGCUCCAAGACAUCCAUUUUGGUAAUCAUACUCAUUAUCAUCAUUAUCUCAUUUUCAGAGCUAAGUAAGAAUUAGGGACUGGCUGAUCUGCUUUGAGGUGCAGUCUUUGUUUUUGGUUUUUGUUCAGUCAGAAUGGCAGUUGUGAAUUUUUCUUCCACUUUAUUUUGUGAGGGGAUGCUGGUGGUUGUCUUUAAGAGAAAUCUGAGUGGCUUUGAGUAAAUGUUUCCUGUCAUCUCUAAAAAGUUUUGCAAUACUUAUGACCUGAUCCAAGGACAUGUAAGAAGGCUGGAUGCCCUUCACACCUAAUUUGAAGGUUCUUCAAAAACUAACUUAUGUCUGUGAAGUCUUGGUGCCUUUUUGAAAAUUAGCAACAGUUCUCCUUCAUAAGGAGCUUCAGUCUAGGGAUGAAAAUAUUGCUUAUUAAGUGACAAAACAAUCUCACCUCUCUCAGUCUCAGCUAAAAUAUACCCAGUUGUUGCGGAUACAUAGAUGUUCAAAUUUUAUUUAUUUACUUAAUCUCCCUAGCAUUUCUUGUCCACAUUGGCUUGAAAGUUUCAGCAGCCGCAGACAAAACAUUUUAAAACACUAGAAAAAAUUAUUUGUGUCCUGGUGCUGAGAAAGUCUGAUAGAGUUUAAAUAGGCCUUGAGGUGAGAUUGUUUUGUCAGCUGUUGGUCAAUGAUGACCUUUAAAACUCAAUUGAUCACUCAAUCAACAGGAAAAUUAACAACAAUUUUGAUAUCAUUUAGGUCAUUCAUCAAGCAAAAAUUUCAAACUUCUACAUUCAAUAUUCUAGAUCCAGCUUGUCAAAUGUGAGCAGUUGCUGCUUUUAUCUGUUUUAUAGUGUAAAUGAAAAAUCUUGGACUAUUGGCCAGAUGAAACGAGUAAACUGAAGACGUCAUCUUGGGCUCUGGAAUACUGUGAAGGGCAUAUUUAUGAUGUUUAAUCAAAUACAUCAUUAAUUAAAAGGGGAAAAAAGGAAACAGAUUAAUUGAUCAUGAAAUCAAUUGCUAAUUGCAGCUAUCCUUCAUUUGGUUAACAGGAGUCUAAUAUUAAAGCCACAUUUAGGGCAAACAUUAAAACUCUUCACAAUGCAAAGUGUCCUCUAAAUAUGAGGUCAACCACUGUUCGCUACUGUUUCUCAUUCAUUUGCCCUCAAUAAUGAGACAUACAGUACAAUCAAGUCAUAAACAGUGCAAGGAAAUCAUGAGGGGAAAGGUAUUUGUCUCAGAGCAAUCAGCGUCAUGGGUAAACUCAUUUGCUCUCUAAUCUCCUCCCCUUUGUACUAAUUUGUUUAUCUCUUCCCCUCAGUGUAUGUGUGUGUGUGUGUGUGUGUAGGUGUGUGUUUAUAUUGCGGUUGUAAUUUCCUUUUGGUGGUGAGUGAAUUAAAACUUGCUCCUAAUUUAUCAUUCAC
This is a long non-coding RNA of Micropterus dolomieu (smallmouth bass), 1999 nucleotides long. RefSeq lists it as uncharacterized. The transcript is spliced from 2 exons. NCBI's taxonomy places the organism in Eukaryota, Metazoa, Chordata, Actinopteri, Centrarchiformes, Centrarchidae. The record is from RefSeq and is a predicted model, not a curated record.